Molecule: non-coding RNA, 29 nt
Filed under: Rattus norvegicus (Norway rat)
Lineage: Eukaryota; Metazoa; Chordata; Mammalia; Rodentia; Muridae
Source: RNAcentral
UUCAAAGCCUCUGGGAAGGCCCUAGCUGG